AGCGCCCUUUGCCGUUCAAAUAUCGAAAUGGCGAAAAGUCUCGUAUCUUCUCUCGGAAGGCGCUAGCUGUUAAAUGAAGAUACAUGUUUUGGAGGAAAGUUGAGCACUGUAAUCCAUUUUGGACUCUUUUUCUAGAUCUGCCUGAACUUUGAGGUCGACACUGUUCCACUCCGGUCCUGCAGAUGGCGUUGAUUAGCUAACCACACAUUUCUACGAGCUUGUCGAGGAGUUUUAUAGGGCCGCGUGGCAUCCAAAGGUGGUCCGAGGGGGUCGUUUGAUGUCAAAGGUCUGCAAUGAUCACAGGAACGUGGAGAAACCCCCACUCCCCGUCAUGGCACAGUGGCGUGAACCAAUCUCAGCCGCCUCUCUAUCAUCCUGCGCCUGUGGACGCCUUCGUCUCCAUCCGUCCAUUAUCCCCGGCUCACUAGUCCGAAAAUGAGGGGGACACUUGGCGCCUCACCACCCCCCCUCUUCUUCUACCUCCUUCCAUUCCUCCCCGUUGACUGGCUGCUAUAUGGAGGGUGACACUGGGCCAAUUCAAUCUGGCGUCUCCCCCCCAGUGAGCCAAAUUGGCCCUUCCCUGCUGCACUUCUGAUGACAUCAAAAAAUGUCACAUUUGUUUGUUUGUUUGUUUUCAGCGGGUUGCAAUAAAAGCUGAUGUGAUGUAUUUGAUCAAAUUCCCCAAGAUAGCGCUCUACAAAAUGGGGCAAAUGCAGACAAACAAUAUAACUAUCCUCAAAGGCAUAUAUUCUUUAUCCUCUUUGGAAAAUGAUUUUUGUUCGUUAAGGAGUUGUUAGUCUUCUCUUUUUUUGUAUGAUUGUAUUAGAUGACCACUCCACCACUGAGCCAUGUACUCCACAAUGUUUUGUUUUUAAUGUGAAUGGCAGUCUAUGUAAAAGAAGUCGCUGCUAAAACUGUGUUGAAAGAUGCAAACAACAUUAAAAAAAAUUCAGU
This is a long non-coding RNA of Syngnathus acus (greater pipefish), 954 nucleotides long. RefSeq lists it as uncharacterized. The transcript is spliced from 2 exons. The record is from RefSeq and is a predicted model, not a curated record. NCBI's taxonomy places the organism in Eukaryota, Metazoa, Chordata, Actinopteri, Syngnathiformes, Syngnathidae.